AACGAACGCUGGCGGCAGGCUUAACACAUGCAAGUCGAACGCCCCGCAAGGGGCGUGGCAGACGGGUGAGUAACGCGUGGGAACAUACCCUUUUCUACGGAAUAGCUCUGGGAAACUGGAAUUAAUACCGUAUACGCCCUACGGGGGAAAGAUUUAUCGGGGAACGAUUGGCCCGCGUUGGAUUAGCUAGUUGGUGGGGUAAAGGCCUACCAAGGCGACGAUCCAUAGCUGGUCUGAGAGGAUGAUCAGCCACAUUGGGACUGAGACACGGCCCAAACUCCUACGGGAGGCAGCAGUGGGGAAUAUUGGACAAUGGGCGCAAGCCUGAUCCAGCCAUGCCGCGUGAGUGAUGAAGGCCUUAGGGUUGUAAAGCUCUUUCACCGAUGAAGAUAAUGACGGUAGUCGGAGAAGAAGCCCCGGCUAACUUCGUG
This 431-nucleotide ribosomal RNA is filed under the name uncultured bacterium. Its description in RNAcentral is "partial 16S ribosomal RNA". It matches the Rfam family "Bacterial small subunit ribosomal RNA", at positions 29 to 507 of the family's 1533-position model. The record is from RNAcentral.